Molecule: long non-coding RNA, 2726 nt
Organism: Gambusia affinis (western mosquitofish)
Lineage: Eukaryota; Metazoa; Chordata; Actinopteri; Cyprinodontiformes; Poeciliidae
Exons: 4
Source: RefSeq, a predicted model, not a curated record
UAGUUUAAGUUCAUGUAAAAUCUUGUUAUCGUGACCUGAAGCUGCAGACUUCCUGUGGCGCCUGUGAUGUCACGGCGUGGGCGCCUGAUCUGCGUUCUGAUUGGCUGCUGAGGAUCUUCUGCUCUCAGUUUCCACAGGAUGCGGUCGCUGAGCGUCACAGGCGAGGGCGGCUGCGGCUGGCGCCUCAAAGCCCGCUGGGACAGGAAGCCGGCGGGGCGGGGCUGAGAAACCGGGCCAGAACAGAACCGGAGCGGGUCACACGCUUCCUGCCGCCGCCAACAUGGUGAGAACGCAGCAGGCGAACGAUCAGCAGCUGCAGAAACAUCCAGGAAACAUUCAGAGCCACAGUGGAGCAGCAGAGCAGGGGGAGCUGCUGUGGAUCCUGUAAUGAUUCCUGGCGGAUCUGCAGGAAUUUUCCUGGUUCCUCCUGGAGUUCAACUCGUCUCUGAAUGUUUGGCAUCAUUUGUCUCACCUGUCCAGGUGAACCAGCUGAUGCAGAACCUUCAGAGCUGAGUCACAUCAGGAGCAGCAGAGUUUCCUGAACCCGAGACGAUUCUCUGCUCUGGUUUCUCUAAAGGUCAACGGAAACAUUUCUCAGCCGCCUUCAGACUGGAAACAACAAACCAGCAGCAACAAAACACAGAAGUGUCUGGAUCACCAGCUGGUGAAGAAUACAGAGAUGAAUCUGAUGAUCUGAACUGAAACAUCUGGACCUGAAAUAAACCAAUAGAAAUGAAAACAUCCCAGAAUUCCUCCGUUUUCUUUCUUCUGUGUUUUUAUUUAUGAUUUGAAUCAAAUCAUUUCAAUGGAAUCUGAAGGCGGCUGCUAGGACUCCUGCUUCCUGCAGGUGGCGUCCUUCAUGCUGGCUGUUUUUCUGUUUUAUUGGACAACAGCGUCAUCAAGUGGAUGUUUAAAGAACUGCAGCUCAGCGGAGGGAUGGAAACUGCUCAGUGUUUCUGUUUUCUGCUUGUAUUUGAUGUAUUUAUGAUUUUCUAAUAACCAGAAUGAUACUGGAGGUGAAGUGAUCCUCAAUAAAAACUUCCAGUUUAACCACCAACACGGAUGUUUCCAACAAACUCCCUCAGGAAACUCCUGCCCAGCAGGGGGCGCUGUAAAAACCACGAGGAAAAGAGGAGUUGUUACUGAUGUGUCUGAUUUAGAUUUCAAUGAAAAACUUUUUUCACUGUUUUAACGUUUUAGGAUGAACUGCCUGUUUCCCUCCUGCUCACAGAAACCUGUUUAUAACUGAAGACAAUCAGAGAAACGCUCGGCUGGUCGACGGAUCAGAACCUGACCGCAGCAACCAGCAGGUAUAACCUGCUACAUUUUCCAUAAAUCUUUGGCGCUCCACAAAGUGACAAACAUCUGGAAAUAUUUGUUGCCCAAAUCUGAUGAGGAUCUAAAUGAUUUCAGGCUGAAGUUCUGACUUGUUCUAAAAUGGAAACGUUUUGUGAAAUGGGAAGUUAUUUUCUGGAUCUGCUCCAGUUCCAGAGCAGGAAGUUGGUGCUGCUGCAGCACUUAGUGUGGCACAAAGUGGCGCAGAAGCUUUUCAUGGAUUUUUCAUCUGCCUUUAAUCCAGCAUCAUAUUUGCUGAGAUCCAGAGAUGUGAAUAUUGACCUGAAGUUGUGACUUUUUCACAGUGACCCUCAUCUGGUCAGAGACACGUUGUCUGACGCUGAGGAGUCGCCACACUUUGAUCAUCUCUGUUGUUCUUUACACAUAUUCCUGCCAAAUGUUCCUCCAGACUGUCACCAGCUUCAAUGUUGAUUAUAUAUUUAUGAAAAUGUUUGUAACCCAGUUUGUAAAAUCUGGCCUUUACUGCAGAACCAUCAGUCACAUGACGCAUUCAGCCAAUCACGGCGUCCGGAUGGUCAUUUGGGCUCCGGGUGUGAAGGGAGAGCUGGAGACAAAACAGUUUCUACUCCCAGACAUCCAGAUGGUUCCUUCAUGUUCUUCAUUCACUUUAAGACUCACAGUAUGAACAGGAUUCAGAUCUGAACCAGUUCAGCUUGGAGCCGUUAAUCUGACUUGGACUGAACUGAGUGGAGUCAGUUAGUAGUGGAUGAAAUGUUUGUUGUUUAGCAAUAACCAAUAAUAAUUGGUUAUUGCUUCGUUGAACUUAUUAAAAGAUGCAGCGCCACCGCCACCUACUGGCCGCUUUUGGUACUGAAGCAUCUGCUGUCCAGGGCAGAUCCAUUAAAUCUGAAGGCAUCAAAUAUGUCAAAUAAAUUCAGUUCAAAUAUAAAAAUAAACAUUAUGGGGAUGAAAUCAGAGGAAACGUUUAAAACAGGGAUGAAAAAUCAGCUCUGAAUAAAAAACAAACUUUAAAAGAAACAAUAUUUCUGUAAACCAGGUGAGUCAACAGGAGACUGAAGGCCUAACAGAGGAAAUCUGAAAGAAUCCAUAAAAAUAACAACAAUAAACAUAAAAUACACUGAAUAACUGAAAAGGACACAGAAAAACUACUGGAUGUAAAAGUAAAGCUGUGAUGUUUAAAACUUCUCCUGUUGAAACAUUAAAGCUCUCAGGAGCUUUUAAAGCAGAAAUGAUCUGGAACCGGUCCAGUUAUGAUCACAUGAAUCAAAUAUGAAAACGCUGCAGCUGAAACGCCUGAAACAGAAAAUAUGACUGCAAGAGUUUUCACCACAUGAUGGCGCUGUGGACCCAUGAACAGGUGAGCCGAUGCCAGCAGUGAGGUUCUGAUCCGAGAUGGGUUCAGAGAUGGG